Taeniopygia guttata (zebra finch) is the source of this 2703-nucleotide non-coding RNA. The record is from RefSeq and is a predicted model, not a curated record. Lineage: Eukaryota; Metazoa; Chordata; Aves; Passeriformes; Estrildidae.
CCCAGAAAUCUCCUUGCAGGAUGAGCCUCUCAUUUUCCCGAGGAUUUUUCUGAAGACCCCAGGGAACAGAACUCUGUUGGCUGAAGUCACUUUUCUGUCACAGGAGCCAGAGCUAGGCUGUGCUAUCGAAAACGGGAUUUCAUCCUAAUGAAAUAAAAUAAAACAACGCGGGGAAGGAGAUUUCAAAGUAUCCUCAGCUGGAUCGGGGGUUCGGGAGAAGGAGGGAAAAAAGGGAAAAACGCCAAAUCCAACCGAAGAGCACCCUCUCCUGGACCGGAGAUCCGCAGCGCUCCUCCCGCAAAUCCCAACUCCUGAGUGCUUCCCAUCCCUUCCCACACAAGUACCCAAAAUAUUCCUCCGUUUUCCCUUUUCUCUGUGCUUUCCAGUAAAUCAUGAAGAAUUGCCAUUAGCAGGACAAUUAGCAGUUAGGAAAGGUUCGUUUUCAGCACGGUUGUAUCGUUGCUGGAAGAUCUCUCAGGUGGGUCACUCAGCACAUCGGGGUUAAUCAUUUUCUGUACCCAACAGAUGCUGCAUUUUGACCUAUUUCCAAUAUUAUCACCAAAAAAAAAAUAUUUUUUCCACUAUAGAAAAAUAGCUUGUGGAGAUGUGUUUUAUUGUGCAGUGCUUUAAGAGAAAAUAUCUUUUAUUUAUUUUAUAUUCUUCCCUCUCCAGAAAGAUGCUCUUCUGUUUCUGCCUCUUGACUGAUUAAGUUUGAUGGUGAAGUUUUCAAUGCACAUUUAAAAUCUGCUCUCCGUGAAUACCCUGCCACGUUCCCUGAAAUUCACAGAUGAAUGAAUUUUUACAGCAUUCCUGGAAAGCAAACACAUCUGACCACAGGGAAUAUUAGCCUGAUAAAGAUUUAAUUGUAAAAUGACAAUGAGCAGCAGUUGAAGUUCAGAUAGUAUUUCCCUGGCUGUCAUUUCUGCGUGCAGACAUUAUUCUAAUAGCAAACCCUCUCAUCUUUGUUACCCUUUUCAUGCUCUUUUCAGUGCCUGAAAAAGUCAAGUACCAAUAUCUUGUGGCACGAACACAAAGCAGAAGCCUUUUUUGCAGAAGGAUUUUUUUUUUGUUUUGCAGUAGGUGACACAGAGUUCAUGAAUAGCAGCACUGAGUUGUGAUACCAACCCAAAUAUUAUUAUUAUUAUUGUUAUUAAUACUAAUAUUAUGUUAUUGUUAUUAUUUCACACCAGGACUGACUAAGCUAAAUACCUGCUAGCUAAGGACCAGUAAAUCAGAUUUUUUAGCUGGAAUAUCCCAGGAUGCUCUGUACAACAGCAAAGUUCAAAUGAAUUUCUGAUGAAGAGUUUGUGCAGUCACACUUGUUCUCUGUGCCACAUCAGAGUAAAUUAAAAUCUGCACACAAAGAAAAUGUCUCCUAUACUUUUUUCAUCAUUCUAACAUUAUCAAUGUCAUCUGAGUAGCAAAAAUAGAGAUUCAACUCCUGCACACCUGGAUAAUCCCACUAAACUCAGAACAGGACUUUCCUUCCCGUAGCUCCAGUGCUGUGGGACGUGGUAUUUAAUAACUGAUGGAUAAUUACGGAGUACAAAAAAAUUCUCUUUUUAUCUACAAACAGCUCAUUCAGCUGAGGAAAUCCUGUCAGGUAGAAGCUGGAGAGGGCUGGUCUCACAGGCAGGAAAUGAAAAGUCCUCCUGUCCCUGGCCAGUGAAACACCCGCUGCCUCUGACCCCAAAAGGUGUUUCUGUGCCUGUGUCUAAUCCCAAAAAUGUUCUCCUGUGCCUGACCCCAAAAGGUGUUUCUGUGCCUGUCUCUGACCCCAAAAAGGCGUUCUGUGCCUAUGUCUGACCCCAAAAAGGUUUUCUGUGUCUCUGACCCCAAAAAGGUGUUUCUGUGCCUCAUUGACAGGCUCAGCUUGCCCUGGAGUGCUGCAGCCUUCUGGAAGCACAGACCUUGUGAAGGAGGGCAAGAUUUGUAGAGCAAAACUGAAGGCAGAAGAUUAUUUUUUGUAAGCUUGGGAGUGCAUGGAUUAAUAAAUCCUGGUUGUCCCAGCUCUUAGGAAUUGCAUUCUGUCUAAAUUUCAGUUUGGUUUUCUCCUUUCCCCCCCAGAAGAGCUGAACCUGGGAACAGCAUCACUCAAAGGCUCGUUAGUUUGAUCAAGUGGCAAAAGUGACUCCAGCUCCCGUGGGUACUCCCAGCUCCGAAACAUUUACACACCCCAAGGGAAUUCUGAAAAACACCACCAAGCCUUUAGGUACUGAAUCACAGGCAGCUAUUUUGAAUCUUUAAUUUUUUUUUCUAUAUUCUUUUCUAUGAGGAUGUCAGAACUAAAAUAUGGAAUAUGAUUUUCCCACUUGGUUCCUAUUACUUGUAAAGCAUUGAAAAGCUUCCAGAAUAAAAUUACCUCUAUGCCCUGCCAGGGAGCAGGCAGAGCUGCACCGAGUAUCAAGGGAGUCCCUCUGCUGGUGUUGCUUUCCAUUUUUAACCCAAAUAUAAUCAUAAAAAUGACUAAAUGUGAGACUGGAGCUGUACAGCCUUAGAUUCAGCAUUUAUUUGUUAUCAUGUUCAUCCCAGCGGAGUUUUACUGUGCUUUUAUAUUUAUACAAAAAGUGCUGAAAUAUAUUCCAUAAAUUAAGGAGUUCAUUUUCAGGUGUGACAUAUUCAUCAUCACCAUCAUCAUCAUCACCAUGAUGGGAGCUUGUUUUCAAACUUUGUUCAUAUGAGAGCAGCCAAUUUGCAUUUAGG